Molecule: ribosomal RNA, 800 nt
Filed under: uncultured bacterium
Lineage: Bacteria
Description: bacterial SSU rRNA
Rfam family: Bacterial small subunit ribosomal RNA
Source: RNAcentral
AGAGUUUGAUCAUGGCUCAGGAUGAACGCUGGCGGCGUGCUUAACACAUGCAAGUCGAACGAGCGGCCCUCUUCGGGGGGCGGCGAGUGGCGGACGGGUGAGUAACGCGUGGGUAACCUGCCCCAUACAGGGGGAUAACAGCUGGAAACGGCUGAUAAUACCGCAUAAGCGCACAGUGCCGCAUGGUACAGUGUGAAAAGUUCUGGCGGUAUGGGAUGGGCCCGCGUCUGAUUAGCCAGUUGGCGGGGUAAGAGCCCACCAAAGCGACGAUCAGUAGCCGACUUGAGAGAGUGACCGGCCACAUUGGGACUGAGACACGGCCCAAACUCCUACGGGAGGCAGCAGUGGGGAAUAUUGCACAAUGGGGGAAACCCUGAUGCAGCGACGCCGCGUGAGUGAGGAAGUAUUUCGGUAUGUAAAGCUCUAUCAGCAGGGAAGAAAAUGACGGUACCUGACUAAGAAGCCCCGGCUAAAUACGUGCCAGCAGCCGCGGUAAUACGUAUGGGGCAAGCGUUAUCCGGAUUUACUGGGUGUAAAGGGAGCGCAGGCGGCAGGGCAAGUCAGAAGUGAAAACCCGGGGCUCAACCCCGCGGAUUGCUUUUGAAACUGCCAGGCUGGAGUGCAGGAGGGGCAAGCGGAAUUCCUGGUGUAGCGGUGAAAUGCGUAGAUAUCAGGAGGAACACCGGUGGCGAAGGCGGCUUGCUGGACUGUAACUGACGCUGAGGCUCGAAGGCGUGGGGAGCAAACAGGAUUAGAUACCCUGGUAGUCCACGCAGUAAACGAUGAAUACCAGGUGUCGG